This 1612-nucleotide long non-coding RNA is filed under the name Homo sapiens (human). RNAcentral's name for it is "non-protein coding lnc-ZKSCAN2-6:5". Lineage: Eukaryota; Metazoa; Chordata; Mammalia; Primates; Hominidae. The record is from RNAcentral.
AGGAAUUUCAGCCAACAUAAUAAGACAUGAAAAUGGCAUUCGAGGUGUAUUAGACAGACAAGGGGAUGUUAGUGUUUGCAGGAGACUUGGUCUGCCUCAGUGAUGUCAGUCAGCAGUGAUUGUGAUUCCCCAGGGGACACUCGGCAGCAUCUGGAGACAUUUUAGUUUAAACUUCCCCAGUGAUCUGUGAUGUACAGGAGACACUUUCGGUUGUCACACUGGGGGAGGAGGCUGCAUGUCACUGGCAUCUGUUGGGUGACACCUACAAUGCACAGGACAACCACAACAAAUAAUUCAGGCCCAAAUGUUGCUGGUGCUGAGGGUGAGGUCCUAGUGUUAGUAACAGGAGGAAAACCCAGCAGUCUGGAGGAGAGACCUCUUCCCAGGGCAGCCCAGGGGCCAUCAGGAGGGUUCAUCUCAUGCAUUAGAGGUCUUGGGAAGAAUGAGGCUUCCUUUCCUCCAUCAAAGCAAGCAAAUCCUUUAAAAGCUGCAUCUCCAAGGGCUGCUCCGGGCUCAUAGCAAGCAACGUCGGAGCCCAGAGGCAAGGCUGUGCUACUCAGCUGCCCUCUGGGGUCACAAAGGCUUCACUUGGCUUCUAAGAGCUGAUGAGGCCUCUCGCAAGGGACCCUGUGUGCAUGGGCUGACCCUGAAACUUCCCAGCCUCUCUUCUUCUCAGAGCACCCUCAGGUGGCCUCUCGGGGGUUACCCCUCAUUGAUACCAUGUCUCCUCGUGUUUUUGUCCAGACUCCAAUUCCAGGGUUUCAGAACCGCAUCGCAGCAUCUUUCCUGAAAUGCACUCAGACUCAGCCAGCAAAGACGUGCCUGGCCGCAUCCUGCUGGAUAUAGACAAUGAUACCGAGAGCACUGCCCUGUGAAGAAAGCCCUUUCCCAGCCCUCCACCACUUCCACCCUGGCGAGUGGAGCAGGGGCAGGCGAACCUCUUUCUUUGCAGACCGAACAGUGAAAAGCUUUCAGUGGAGGACAAAGGAGGGCCUCACUGUGCGGGACCUGGCCUUCUGCACGGCCCAAGGAGAACCUGGAGGCCACCACUAAAGCUGAAUGACCUGUGUCUUGAAGAAGUUGGCUUUCUUUACAUGGGAAGGAAAUCAUGCCAAAAAAAUCCAAAACAAAGAAGUACCUGGAGUGGAGAGAGUAUUCCUGCUGAAACGCGCAUAGGAAGCUUUUGUCCCUGCUGUUAAUGCGGGCAGCACCUACAGCAACUUGGAAUGAGUAAGAAGCAGUGCGUUAACUAUCUAUUUAAUAAAAUGCGCUCAUUAUGCAAGUCGCCUACUCUCUGCUACCUGGACGUUCAUUCUUAUGUAUUAGGAGGGAGGCUGCGCUCCUUCAGACUUGCUGCAGAAUCAUUUUGUAUCAUGUAUGGUCUGUGUCUCCCCAGUCCCCUCAGAACCAUGCCCAUGGAUGGUGACUGCUGGCUCUGUCACCUCAUCAAACUGGAUGUGACCCAUGCCGCCUCGUUGGAUUGUCGGAAUGUAGACAGAAAUGUACUGUUCUUUUUUUUUUUUUUAAACAAUGUAAUUGCUACUUGAUAAGGACCGAACAUUAUUCUAGUUUCAUGUUUAAUUUGAAUUAAAUAUAUUCUGUGGUUUAUAUG